RNAcentral lists this transfer RNA (70 nucleotides) under Perca fluviatilis (European perch). It matches the Rfam family "tRNA". Rfam says of the family: Transfer RNA (tRNA) molecules are approximately 80 nucleotides in length. The record is from Rfam by way of RNAcentral. Lineage: Eukaryota; Metazoa; Chordata; Actinopteri; Perciformes; Percidae.
GGGGAAUUAGCUCAAAUGGUAGAGCGCGCUUGGCUGCAAAAGGUAGUGGGAUCGAUGCCCACAUUCUCCA